This 97-nucleotide transfer RNA is filed under the name Maricaulis virginensis. Its description in RNAcentral is "tRNA-Trp". The record is from RNAcentral. Lineage: Bacteria; Pseudomonadati; Pseudomonadota; Alphaproteobacteria; Maricaulales; Maricaulaceae.
UCGGGGACUGGGUGAAGGCCACGACCUGGCCGCUGCCAUAGCUGCGCGACAGGACGAAGGGCUUGUAGGCCAGCUGUUCGGCAUAGUCGUCCCACAG